CCCAAGUAGCACGGGGCCCGAGAAAUCCCGUGUGAAUCUGGCGGGACCACCCGCUAAGCCUAAAUAUUCCCUGGUGACCGAUAGCGGAUAGUACCGUGAGGGAAUGGUGAAAAGUACCCCGGGAGGGGAGUGAAAUAGUACCUGAAACCGUGUGCCUACAAGCCGUGGGAGCGUCGGAUGGAAGCUUGCUUUCAUCUCGUGACUGCGUGCCUUUUGAAGAAUGAGCCUGCGAGUUUGCGGUGUGUUGCGAGGUUAACCCGUGUGGGGAAGCCGUAGCGAAAGCGAGUCCGAAUAGGGCGGUUUAGUAGCGCGCUCAAGACCCGAAGCGGAGUGAUCUAGCCAUGGGCAGGUUGAAGCGGAGGUAAGACUUCGUGGAGGACCGAACCCACCAGGGUUGAAAACCUGGGGGAUGACCUGUGGUUAGGGGUGAAAGGCCAAUCAAACUCCGUGAUAGCUGGUUCUCCCCGAAAUGCAUUUAGGUGCAGCGUCGUGUGUUUCUUGCCGGAGGUAGAGCACUGGAUAGGCGAUGGGCCCUACCGGGUUACUGACCUUAGCCAAACUCCGAAUGCCGGUAAGUGAGAGCGCGGCAGUGAGACUGUGGGGGAUAAGCUCCAUGGUCGAGAGGGAAACAGCCCAGAGCAUCGACUAAGGCCCCUAAGCGUACGCUAAGUGGGAAAGGAUGUGGAGUCGCAGAGACAACCAGGAGGUUGGCUUAGAAGCAGCCACCCUUGAAAGAGUGCGUAAUAGCUCACUGGUCUAGUGAUUCCGCGCCGACAAUGUAGCGGGGCUCAAGCGUACCGCCGAAGUCGUGUCAUUGCAGCAUAAGGGCCAACGCCUGCUGUGAUGGGUAGGGGAGCGUCGUGUGCCGGGUGAAGCCGCGCCGGAAGGCAGUGGUGGACGGUUCACGAGUGAGAAUGCAGGCAUGAGUAGCGAUUCACACGUGAGAAACGUGUGCGCCGAUUGACUAAGGGUUCCUGGGUCAAGCUGAUCUGCCCAGGGUAAGUCGGGACCUAAGGCGAGGCCGACAGGCGUAGUCGAUGGAUAACCGGUUGAUAUUCCGGUACCCGCUGUGAAGCGUCAAACAUCGAACCAGGCGAUGCUAAGGCCGUGAAGCCGCCCCGGAGCCUUCGGGCAAAGGGGAGUGGUGGAGCCGCUGAACCAGACUUGCAGUAGGUGAGUGAUGGGGUGACGCAGGAAGGUAGUCCAUCCCGGGCGGUGGUUGUCCCGGGGUAAGGGUGUAGG
Molecule: ribosomal RNA, 1242 nt
Filed under: Streptomyces caeruleatus
Lineage: Bacteria; Bacillati; Actinomycetota; Actinomycetes; Kitasatosporales; Streptomycetaceae
Description: bacterial LSU rRNA
Rfam family: Bacterial large subunit ribosomal RNA
Source: RNAcentral